Molecule: ribosomal RNA, 460 nt
Filed under: uncultured bacterium
Lineage: Bacteria
Description: partial 16S ribosomal RNA
Rfam family: Bacterial small subunit ribosomal RNA
Source: RNAcentral
CCUACGGGAGGCAGCAGUGAGGAAUAUUGGUCAAUGGACGAGAGUCUGAACCAGCCAAGUAGCGUGAAGGAUGACUGCCCUAUGGGUUGUAAACUUCUUUUAUAUGGGAAUAAAAUGUUCCACGUGUGGGAUUUUGUAUGUACCAUAUGAAUAAGGAUCAGCUAACUCCGUGCCAGCAGCCGCGGUAAUACGGAGGAUCCGAGCGUUAUCCGGAUUUAUUGGGUUUAAAGGGAGCGUAGGUGGAUUGUUAAGUCAGUUGUGAAAGUUUGCGGCUCAACCGUAAAAUUGCAGUUGAAACUGGCAGUCUUGAGUACAGUAGAGGUGGGCGGAAGUCGUGGUGUAGCGGUGAAAUGCUUAGAUAUCACGAAGAACUCCGAUUGCGAAGGCAGUUCACUGGACUGCAACUGACACUGAGGCUCGAAAGUGUGGGUAUCAAACAGGAUUAGAUACCCGAGUAGUC